GACGAACGCUGGCGGCGUGCUUAACACAUGCAGGUCGAACGGAAAGGCCCUGCUUUUGUGGGGUGCUCGAGUGGCGAACGGGUGAGUAACACGUGAGUAACCUGCCCUUGACUUUGGGAUAACUUCAGGAAACUGGGGCUAAUACCGGAUAGGAGCUCCUGCUGCAUGGUGGGGGUUGGAAAGUUUCGGCGGUUGGGGAUGGACUCGCGGCUUAUCAGCUUGUUGGUGGGGUAGUGGCUUACCAAGGCUUUGACGGGUAGCCGGCCUGAGAGGGUGACCGGCCACAUUGGGACUGAGAUACGGCCCAGACUCCUACGGGAGGCAGCAGGGGGGAAUAUUGCACAAUGGGCGGAAGCCUGAUGCAGCAACGCCGCGUGCGGGAUGACGGCCUUCGGGUUGUAAACCGCUUUCGCCUGUGACGAAGCGUGAGUGACGGUAAUGGGUAAAGAAGCACCGGCUAACUACGUG
This 468-nucleotide ribosomal RNA is filed under the name uncultured bacterium. Its description in RNAcentral is "partial 16S ribosomal RNA". It matches the Rfam family "Bacterial small subunit ribosomal RNA", at positions 28 to 507 of the family's 1533-position model. The record is from RNAcentral.